AACCAGCACCUCAAGUGGUCAGGAUGAUUAUUGGGCCUAAAGCAUCCGUAGCCGGCUCUGUAAGUUUUCGGUUAAAUCUGUACGCUCAACGUACAGGCUGCCGGGAAUACUGCAGAGCUAGGGAGUGGGAGAGGUAGACGGUACUCGGUAGGAAGGGGUAAAAUCCUUUGAUCUAUUGAUGACCACCUGUGGCGAAGGCGGCCAUCUGGACAGUAACUGACGCUGAAGCACGAAAGUGUGGGUAGCAAACAGG
RNAcentral lists this ribosomal RNA (253 nucleotides) under uncultured archaeon. RNAcentral describes it as "partial 16S ribosomal RNA". It matches the Rfam family "Archaeal small subunit ribosomal RNA", at positions 474 to 727 of the family's 1478-position model. The record is from RNAcentral.